ACGAACGCNGGCGGCGUGCCUAAUACAUGCAAGUAGAACGCUGAAGGAGGAGCUUGCUCUUCUGGAUGAGUUGCGAACGGGUGAGUAACGCGUAGGUAACCUGCCUGGUAGCGGGGGAUAACUAUUGGAAACGAUAGCUAAUACCGCAUAACAUUGACUAUUGCAUGAUAGUCAAUUGAAAGGUGCAAAUGCACCACUACCAGAUGGACCUGCGUUGUAUUAGCUAGUUGGUGGGGUAACGGCUCACCAAGGCGACGAUACAUAGCCGACCUGAGAGGGUGAUCGGCCACACUGGGACUGAGACACGGCCCAGACUCCUACGGGAGGCAGCAGUAGGGAAUCUUCGGCAAUGGACGAAAGUCUGACCGAGCAACGCCGCGUGAGUGAAGAAGGUUUUCGGAUCGUAAAGCUCUGUUGUAAGAGAAGAACGAGUGUGAGAGNGGAAAGUUCACAC
RNAcentral lists this ribosomal RNA (454 nucleotides) under uncultured bacterium. RNAcentral describes it as "bacterial SSU rRNA". It matches the Rfam family "Bacterial small subunit ribosomal RNA", at positions 29 to 469 of the family's 1533-position model. The record is from RNAcentral.